Molecule: long non-coding RNA, 145 nt
Organism: Schistocerca nitens (vagrant locust)
Lineage: Eukaryota; Metazoa; Arthropoda; Insecta; Orthoptera; Acrididae
Exons: 3
Source: RefSeq, a predicted model, not a curated record
CUGCCUCGUUGGACUUAGUCACCACGUAAACACCACGUGGCAAUAACUGUCAAUCGUGCAAGCAACGCCGCAUUCGCUGACUGACCUCACGGCAGGAAUGCAGCGGCUGCAGCAAAUUGGGAUACAUCGCCAUCGCGUGCCACGG